This 253-nucleotide ribosomal RNA is filed under the name uncultured bacterium. RNAcentral's name for it is "partial 16S ribosomal RNA". It matches the Rfam family "Bacterial small subunit ribosomal RNA", at positions 524 to 776 of the family's 1533-position model. The record is from RNAcentral.
UACGUAGGGUGCAAGCGUUAAUCGGAAUUACUGGGCGUAAAGCGUGCGCAGGCGGUUGUGUAAGACAGAUGUGAAAUCCCCGGGCUCAACCUGGGAACUGCAUUGGUGACUGGCGGGCUAGAGUAUGGCAGAGGGGGGUAGAAUUCCACGUGUAGCAGUGAAAUGCGUAGAGAUGUGGAGGAAUACCGAUGGCGAAGGCAGCCCCCUGGGCCAAUACUGACGCUCAUGCACGAAAGCGUGGGGAGCAAACAGG